Molecule: ribosomal RNA, 429 nt
Filed under: Acidobacteriota bacterium
Lineage: Bacteria; Pseudomonadati; Acidobacteriota
Description: Acidobacteria bacterium partial 16S ribosomal RNA
Rfam family: Bacterial small subunit ribosomal RNA
Source: RNAcentral
UGGGGAAUUUUGGACAAUGGGGGAAACCCUGAUCCAGCCAUCCCGCGUGUGCGAUGAAGGCCUUCGGGUUGUAAAGCACUUUUGGCAGGAAAGAAACGUCACGGGUUAAUACCCCGUGAAACUGACGGUACCUGCAGAAUAAGCACCGGCUAACUACGUGCCAGCAGCCGCGGUAAUACGUAGGGUGCAAGCGUUAAUCGGAAUUACUGGGCGUAAAGCGUGCGCAGGCGGUUCGGAAAGAAAGAUGUGAAAUCCCAGAGCUCAACUUUGGAACUGCAUUUUUAACUACCGGGCUAGAGUGUGUCAGAGGGAGGUGGAAUUCCGCGUGUAGCAGUGAAAUGCGUAGAUAUGCGGAGGAACACCGAUGGCGAAGGCAGCCUCCUGGAAUAACACUGACGCUCAUGCACGAAAGCGUGGGGAGCAAACAGG